UUUGACCUCAAAUCAGGUAGGACUACCCGCUGAACUUAAGCAUAUCAAUAAGCGGAGGAAAAGAAACUAACAAGGAUUCCCCUAGUAACGGCGAGUGAAGAGGGAAAAGCUCAAAUUUAAAAUCUGGCGGUCUACGGCCGUCCGAGUUGUAAUCUAGAGAAGUGUUUUCCGCGCUGGACCGUGUACAAGUCCUUUGGAACAAGGCGUCAUAGAGGGUGAGAAUCCCGUCUACGACACGGACUGCCAAGCGCUUUGUGAUACACUCUCAACGAGUCGAGUUGUUUGGGAAUGCAGCUCAAAAUGGGUGGUAAAUUCCAUCUAAAGCUAAAUAUGGGCGAAAGACCGAUAGCGAACAAGUACCGUGAGGGAAAGAUGAAAAGCACUUUGGAAAGAGAGUUAAACAGUACGUGAAAUUGUUGAAAGGGAAACGCUUGAAGUCAGUCGCGUCUUCAGAAAUUCAGCUGGGCUUCUGCCCUGUGUACUUUUCUGUGGGACGGGCCAGCAUCAGUUUCGGCUGCCAGAAAAAGGUGGGAGGAAGGUGGCACCUCCGGGUGUGUUAUAGCCUCCGAUCGUAUGUGGCAGCUGGGACUGAGGACCGCAGCACGCCUUCAUGGCCGGGGUUCGCCCACGUAACGUGCUUAGGAUGCUGGCGUAAUGGCUUUAAGCGACCCGUCUUGAAACACGGACCAAGGAGUCUAACAUGCCUGCGAGUAUUUGGGUGGCAAACCCAUAUGCGCAAUGAAAGUGAACGGUUGGGACUUCUGUCAUGGAAGGCACCGACGCCCGGACCAGACCUAUUGUGACGGAUCCGAGGUAGAGCAUGUAUGUUGGGACCCGAAAGAUGGUGAACUAUGCCUGAGUAGGGUGAAGCCAGAGGAAACUCUGGUGGAGGCUCGUAGCGAUUCUGACGUGCAAAUCGAUCGUCGAACUUGGGUAUAGGGGCGAAAGACUAAUCGAAC
RNAcentral lists this ribosomal RNA (959 nucleotides) under Geastrum smardae. RNAcentral describes it as "eukaryotic LSU rRNA". It matches the Rfam family "Eukaryotic large subunit ribosomal RNA", at positions 1 to 940 of the family's 3401-position model. Lineage: Eukaryota; Fungi; Basidiomycota; Agaricomycetes; Geastrales; Geastraceae. The record is from RNAcentral.